Molecule: ribosomal RNA, 847 nt
Filed under: uncultured archaeon
Lineage: Archaea
Description: bacterial SSU rRNA
Rfam family: Archaeal small subunit ribosomal RNA
Source: RNAcentral
GCUAUCGGAUUGAUACUAAGCCAUGCGAGUCAUUGUAGCAAUACAAGGCAUACGGCUCAGUAACGCGUAGUCAACCUAACCUAUGGACGGGAAUAACCUCGGGAAACUGAGAAUAAUGCCCGAUAGAACAUUAUGCCUGGAAUGGUUUAUGUUCCAAAUGAUUUAUCGCCGUAGGAUGGGACUGCGGCCUAUCAGUUUGUUGGUGAGGUAAUGGCCCACCAAGACUAUUACAGGUACGGGCUCUGAGAGGAGUAGCCCGGAGAUGGGUACUGAGACACGGACCCAGGCCCUAUGGGGCGCAGCAGGCGAGAAAACUUUGCAAUGUGCGAAAGCACGACAAGGUUAAUCCGAGUGGUUUCUGCUAAAGGAACCUUUUGUCAGUCCUAGAAACACUGAUGAAUAAGGGGUGGGCAAGUUCUGGUGUCAGCCGCCGCGGUAAAACCAGCACCUCAAGUGGUCAGGAUGAUUAUUGGGCCUAAAGCAUCCGUAGCCGGCUCUGUAAGUUUUCGGUUAAAUCUGUACGCUCAACGUACAGGCUGCCGGGAAUACUGCAAAGCUAGGGAGUGGGAGAGGUAGACGGUACUCGGUAGGAAGGGGUAAAAUCCUUUGAUCUAUUGAUGACCACCUGUGGCGAAGGCGGCCUACCAGAACACGUCCGACGGUGAGGGAUGAAAGCUGGGGGAGCAAACCGGAUUAGAUACCCGGGUAGUCCCAGCUGUAAACCAUGCAAACUCAGUGAUGCAUUGGCUUGUGGCCAAUGCAGUGCUGCAGGGAAGCCGUUAAGUUUGCCGCCUGGGAAGUACGUACGCAAGUAUGAAACUUAAAGGAAUUGGCGGGGGAGCACCAC